Non-coding RNA from Paramuricea clavata, 389 nucleotides. NCBI's taxonomy places the organism in Eukaryota, Metazoa, Cnidaria, Anthozoa, Malacalcyonacea, Plexauridae. The record is from the annotation of a GenBank genome assembly.
UUCCGUAAAAACGGAAGUAGACUGUAUGCUUGAUGGCUCACAAAAACAUUCCGCGCACAGAAAAGCACAAAGGUUUGAAUAACUAACAAAAUAUUCCGCAAACACAAAAGCACAAAGGUUUGGAUGACUCACAAAAAUAUUCCGCAAACACGCAAAAAAACAAAGGUUAUAUCCAGCUACAUAAAACCCGUCAGUGUUCGCCUUGUAAGCAAUUCUCUGGACCUAAUUUUCGUCAGUAUUGGAAUUCAGUGCAGAAUUUUGUUUUGACACAAACAAUUACGCAAAGUAACUAUAAAUGUUGAGAAAAAUUUAUAGAAAUUUAGUUUUAGUAGAAGCUUCACGAUUUCCGAGUUGAAAGAUAAAGUAAACUAUAAUUUUUUAGAGGGGGC